GAUGAACGCUGGCGGCGUGCCUAACACAUGCAAGUCGAGCGGUAACAGGGAUAGUUUACUAUCUGCUGACGAGCGGCGAACGGCUGAGUAACGCGUGGGAAUGUACCCCAAAGUGAGGGAUAAAUGCCUGAAAAGGUAGCUAAUACCGCAUAUGGCCUUCGGAUUAAAGUAUUUAUACGCUUUGGGAACAGCCCGCGUCCGAUUAGGUUGUUGGUUAGGUAAUGGCUCACCAAGCCGACGAUCGGUAGCUGGUCUGAGAGGAUGAUCAGCCAGACUGGAACUGAGACACGGUCCAGACUCCUACGGGAGGCAGCAGUGAGGAAUCUUCCACAAUGGGGGGAACCCUGAUGGAGCAACGCCGCGUGCAGGAUGAAGGCCUUCGGGUUGUAAACUGCUUUUAUGAGUGAAGAAUAUGACGGUAACUCAUGAAUAAGGAUCGGCUAGCUACGUGCCAGCCGCCGCGGUAA
This 467-nucleotide ribosomal RNA is filed under the name uncultured bacterium. RNAcentral's name for it is "partial 16S ribosomal RNA". It matches the Rfam family "Bacterial small subunit ribosomal RNA", at positions 28 to 523 of the family's 1533-position model. The record is from RNAcentral.